Homo sapiens (human) is the source of this 3013-nucleotide long non-coding RNA. Ensembl annotates it as long intergenic non-protein coding RNA 319. Lineage: Eukaryota; Metazoa; Chordata; Mammalia; Primates; Hominidae. The record is from Ensembl.
CAUUGCCCUCUGCCCCGCAGCCUGCCCGUUCCCAGGCCAGCGAGGGCGCUCCCAGGCCGGUCUGCAGCCAGAACACAGCCCGUUCCAUGUGCUUGUCCUCGGGACACAUUAGGAAUGAACCCAGGCCUCAGUCCUGGCCUCCUCCUCAAGGCUGGGUGCUCAGACGUCCCCCUCAGCCCCUUUCUCUAGACCUUCCGGCUGAACAAACGAGAACAUCUCACAGCCCUGCAACAGCCAGGAGCUGCUCGUGGAGCUCCACGCCCGGCUGGAGAGAGAGGAGGCACCCUGGGCAGCCCGCCAGCACCCAGGCUCUCACAGUGGAAGCCCACGUCUUCUUGGGCUCUAUUUUGAAAGCUGUUCUUUCCACGACGGCUUUGACAAGAAUCGAUUUGAGUGAGCCGGCGUGUCAAUACAGGCCAGCACAGGACUGGCCUCAGGGCCACAUUGGGGAGGGUGGCGACCAGGCCCUGGCUGCAGCCCACGUGGGCAAAAGCAUGGCCAGGCAGGAGGUGGGGCCUGUGAGCUUGGCUACAGCGACCGUGGGCGCUGGGCCCGGGGCUCCUCAGCCCUGAGGGGAGACCCAGGCCCAGGCAGGCUCCCAGGCGGGCUCCCGGGCUCCCAGCCUUCCGAUCUUCUCCCUUUGAGACCUUGCCUUCUGCACAGUGACAGGAAAGAGCCCUGAGUCCCACUUUGCAGGGAUGUAUUGCAUUUCCAGAAAGUUCCUUCCGGGUGCAGAGUGAUACAUGAACCCUGGGGACUCACUCCAACUUGGUAUUGAUUUUCUCCACGGAGGACCCAGCAGUCACGGCCCGUGUCUGCACAGCCCCUUGGAUCCUGCGGAGGAAUUCAGCCGGCCCCUCCCCCUGUGCCGAAAACCACGGAGGCAAAGCCAGGCCAGGGUACAGUGAGAACACGGGAGAGGACUGAGAGACCGCUGGCUGCCGAGGGAGGAAGAGCAGGAUUCGCACCCCCGUCAUCGCUGGGCCCACACGCCGCCGACAGCUUCCGCGUGUGGCCAUCUGUCUUUCAGAAACCCUCUGGCAGAGGGACCCAGCAGAUGACACGGGGGCCGUUCACACUCUGAAACCUGCCUGGAGUCAAAACACUGCUGGCGAGCCUCCACCGCAAACCCAAUCCAGAUGGUCUUCCCUGGUGGCCCUCGGGGUGGCGGGCACCCUGCCCACUCCCUGCCAGCCCCUGCCCGCUGGACUCCAGGCCCGGCCGAGCCCCCGACCGGUCUCCUGACCCAGCAUGCUGCUCUCCCCUGGGCCCGGCUUUCUCGCCCGCUGGGACUCCCAGGCCCCUCCAGCCCAGCCCCGAGAGCAGGAGCCCCAAGGGAGGCUUGGCGGCUGUGGAGGCGAGUGGGCCACGUGUAGCUGGGAGGCCGGCAGGACCAGGAGCCCCUCACAGCGCAGCACCCACAGCAUCACGAGCCACUUCCACUCCUGGGUGGCCUGGGGGCCCCCACCCUGCUCUGAGCUGCCCCUUGUUGUGACCUGGGGUCCCCCGUGGUGGGCCCGCCCCUUGAGCCUGGGAUCCAGCCUCAGCGAGGCUCCAGAAGUGUCGUCUCCGCCGGCCAGGCGUCAGCGCCUCCACCCAGGAUCACACACUCCUAUCUCUGCACUUCUGCCCUCCAUCCUGCUCCACGCCGCCUCUGCUUGUUAUUCCAGCACAUUCCAGGGUGAUGCCUGCUGAAGCCACGCAGCCAGUGCCUCCACCCUACCCCCCAUCUGACCCACCGGCCCCUUCCGCACGCUGGAAGCCUGCCCGGCCUGAAGUGUCCUCACCUGUCGCCCUAUCCUCCCCUCCACUCCAGCCCACCGGUGACUCAGCCCUCACAGCUCUCUCCUCCCCGAGGGAGCCGGUGACUUGGCUCUGAUGGUGCCGGGACCCAGCCCCGGCAUGUUCAGAAUCCUUGUCCUUUAACCUGCGUCCACAUGUAGUCGCCUCCACCUCCCUGCCUGAACCUCCAGGCCCUGCAGAGCAAACACUGCUGCCUGCAGGAGACCCCUGGGGCCUUCUCCGUCCCCUCAUCCUCCUAAGGAGCCUCCCCUGCCACCGUGCCAGAAUGUGCCGGAGGAACAGAGGCCCGAGCCUCCCGUGGCCCCAGCGAGGCUUCCUCUGGGGAAGACAGUGAGCCCAACGCCCUGGCUCUCGAGGGGUGGACGGAGUCCAGCUGGCAUCGACCGGGUGCCCCUCUUCACCGGUGUCCACAGUCCUUGAGAGCAAAGGGUUCCCAGAGGCGACCUCCCUCCUGCACAGGCAUUUGUCAUCCUUACCCUCUAGGACAGCUUUGCCAUGUGCAGUGAACCCCUGGACAGUGUUGCGUGCCACUUUGCCGGAUUUGGACUGUAUACAGACCGAAGCAUGUGGCAUGAAGCCUUCUGCUGUCAGCAAGUUCCUUGUCCCUCGACAGUAUGUGCCCAGGCUGCCCUUCAAGGUGGCAGUGAUGGCAGUUGUCUCUUGCACGCUGCGUACAGUUCUGUCACUGACUCUUACACACAGCCCUGGAGACGGGAGAGUGCCGGGAGCAUUCUAUGCAAGUGUCCUGGCCUUUGCGGGCGUCUCCACAGCACAAACACGAGUCAGGGACCACCCCUCUUCUGCUUCCAUGAUUCCACCAACUGGGUGGGGCAGAGCAGUGCCAGGGCCGGAGGCACGCCCCAGGUGAGGGCAGGUGGCCAUGCCAGUGAGUGCACUGCGUUCUCAGUUAAUUCAUCCGAAAUAUUUCUAAGUUUCUUGAUUAUUGCAGUUGCAUCCCCAAGAUAAUGCCGCCCUCACCAAGUAGAAGGCACAUGUGCUCUGAUGGCCCCUCCCACACUGGGGUCAGGGCACAGCAACUUAGCGAGGCGACGUGGGGGCUCAGAGGACCUCGGACCAGGCUCGGCACAUGGGGCUUCUCCAGCCAGCCAGGGGGAAGCACCCUGCAGACUGCUAACUUUUGCAAAAUAGAGUAAAAAAGAUCAGCUAGAAAAAUAAAACAAAAAAGGAAAGAUAUACAAAAUACAAGGCC